RNAcentral lists this ribosomal RNA (376 nucleotides) under uncultured bacterium. Its description in RNAcentral is "bacterial SSU rRNA". It matches the Rfam family "Bacterial small subunit ribosomal RNA", at positions 521 to 896 of the family's 1533-position model. The record is from RNAcentral.
UAAGACGAACCGUGCGAACGUUGUUCGGAAUCACUGGGCUUAAAGGGCGCGUAGGCGGUUCGCCAAGUCCGGGGUGAAAUCUUUCGGCUUAACCGGAAAAGUGCCUCGGAUACUGGCGGGCUGGAGGGAGGUAGGGGCCGCGGGAACUUCCGGUGGAGCGGUGAAAUGCGUUGAUAUCGGAAGGAACGCCGGUGGCGAAAGCGCGCGGCUGGCCCUCUUCUGACGCUGAGGCGCGAAAGCCAGGGGAGCAAACGGGAUUAGAUACCCCGGUAGUCCUGGCCCUAAACGAUGGGUACUAGGUAGUGGGCUUGACAUGGGCUCACUGCCGCAGCAAAAGUGUUAAGUACCCCGCCUGGGGAGUAUGGUCGCAAGGCUG